CCCUGGCCUUGACAUCCAGAGAACUUAGCAGAGAUGCUUUGGUGCCUUCGGGAACUCUGAGACAGGUGCUGCAUGGCUGUCGUCAGCUCGUGUUGUGAAAUGUUGGGUUAAGUCCCGCAACGAGCGCAACCCUUAUCCUUUGUUGCCAGCGGUUCGGCCGGGAACUCAAAGGAGACUGCCGGUGAUAAACCGGAGGAAGGUGGGGAUGACGUCAAGUCAUCAUGGCCCUUACGGCCAGGGCUACACACGUGCUACAAUGGCGCAUACAAAGAGAAGCGACCUCGCGAGAGCAAGCGGACCUCAUAAAGUGCGUCGUAGUCCGGAUUGGAGUCUGCAACUCGACUCCAUGAAGUCGGAAUCGCUAGUAAUCGUAGAUCAGAAUGCUACGGUGAAUACGUUCCCGGGCCUUGUACACACCGCCCGUCACACCAUGGGAGUGGGUUGCAAAAGAAGUAGGUAGCUUAACCUCCGGAAGGGCGCUUACCACUUUGUGAUUCAUGACUGGGGUGAAGUCGUAACAAGGUAACCAAGGGCGAAUUCUG
RNAcentral lists this ribosomal RNA (542 nucleotides) under uncultured Pantoea sp. Its description in RNAcentral is "bacterial SSU rRNA". It matches the Rfam family "Bacterial small subunit ribosomal RNA", at positions 973 to 1515 of the family's 1533-position model. Lineage: Bacteria; Pseudomonadati; Pseudomonadota; Gammaproteobacteria; Enterobacterales; Erwiniaceae. The record is from RNAcentral.